GACGAACGCUGGCGGCGUGCUUAACACAUGCAAGUCGAACGCGUGUGCUCUUUCGGGGGUGCAUGAGUGGCGAACGGGUGAGUAACACGUGAGCAACCUGCCCUUGACUUCGGAAUACCAGCUGGAAACAGCUGCUAAUACCGGAUAUGACCUCUUCCCUCUUGGGUUGGGGUGGAAAGCUUUUGCGGUCAGGGAUGGGCUCGCGGCCUAUCAGCUUGUUGGUGAGGUAAUGGCUCACCAAGGCUUCGACGGGUAGCCGGCCUGAGAGGGCGACCGGCCACACUGGGACUGAGAUACGGCCCAGACUCCUACGGGUGGCUG
Molecule: ribosomal RNA, 321 nt
Filed under: uncultured Actinomycetes bacterium
Lineage: Bacteria; Bacillati; Actinomycetota; Actinomycetes
Description: bacterial SSU rRNA
Rfam family: Bacterial small subunit ribosomal RNA
Source: RNAcentral